Molecule: ribosomal RNA, 497 nt
Filed under: uncultured bacterium
Lineage: Bacteria
Description: partial 16S ribosomal RNA
Rfam family: Bacterial small subunit ribosomal RNA
Source: RNAcentral
GAUGAACGCUGGCGGCGUGCCUAAUACAUGCAAGUCGAGCGAACAGACGAGGAGCUUGCUCCUCUGACGUUAGCGGCGGACGGGUGAGUAACACGUGGAUAACCUACCUAUAAGACUGGGAUAACUUCGGGAAACCGGAGCUAAUACCGGAUAAUAUAUUGAACCGCAUGGUUCAAUAGUGAAAGACGGUUUUGCUGUCACUUAUAGAUGGAUCCGCGCCGCAUUAGCUAGUUGGUAAGGUAACGGCUUACCAAGGCAACGAUGCGUAGCCGACCUGAGAGGGUGAUCGGCCACACUGGAACUGAGACACGGUCCAGACUCCUACGGGAGGCAGCAGUAGGGAAUCUUCCGCAAAGGGCGAAAGCCUGACGGAGCAACGCCGCGUGAGUGAUGAAGGUCUUCGGAUCGUAAAACUCUGUUAUUAGCGAAGAACAAAUGUGUAAGUAACUAUGCACGUCUUGACGGUACCUAAUCAGAAAGCCACGGCUAACUACGUG